This 1234-nucleotide long non-coding RNA is filed under the name Homo sapiens (human). RNAcentral's name for it is "DDHD1 divergent transcript". Lineage: Eukaryota; Metazoa; Chordata; Mammalia; Primates; Hominidae. The record is from RNAcentral.
GGGCCCCCAUAGCGCAGUGGCGGGCUGAAGGGCUCCUUGAGCAUGGCCAGAGUGGACGCCAAGGCUGAGGAGGCGCCGAGAGCCAGUGAGGGCUGCUAGCAUGUUGUCACCUCUCAAUACAUAAAACUACUGGAGGGUGGUUCCAAGAUGGCCAAAUAGGAACAGCUCCAGUCUACAGCUCCCAGCAUGAGUGAUGCAGAAGACGAAUGAUUUCUGCAUUUCCAACUCAGUAGAGAGCUGACUUUAGAGGGAUCAAGAAUAGCUUGCUGGAUGGAAGGAGGUCAUCUUUAGGAGCUGGCAUGAAUUGCUGUGUUUCAGAACAGUCCACGCAGAGGAAUGAGGAGAAGAGGAUUCAUCCAUUAGCUUCCAUCUCCCAUUGGUGAAAGCUUGCCCUGCAACUCCUCCACACUUCUGGGUUGUAUGACCUGUCCUGCUACAGCCACUAUGGAAAUCUGAACCCAUGUUAGUAGCCACCUCCUCAGCAUGACCUGCAGCUUAUGGGGCAUGCAGUAAGUAGGAGCAAGCCAAGCGCCCUGCGGGCUAGACCUCUGGCACACUGCAGAACCAGCAUGAACCAGGGCAGGUAGUGAACACCGAGAGGGUCCCAUGGUACUGCCCACCAUAGAGACUAAAACAGAGCCUUUGGCAAGAGGCAGGAGGCUCUAGGCAUGAGGUGUUUUCGGUCAUAGCCACACAUUACCUCAGAUUCCAGGAGCAGCUGCUGCAGCAGACCCAGCUAGCCCAGCCUGCAGAUUGUCACCAUGAAGACAGAGAUGAUCCUUCCUCCAGUGAAGAGCAAAACUUCUUUGUGGCCUAUAUGACUGCUUGGUGCUGGGCAAGCUUCCUGAAGAGUCAUCAGCAGCUGGAGACCAUGGCUGAGUAAAUCCAGGGUGGGGGCAGGGCAUAAGCUGGGUCCAGUGCAUUAUCCAUCCUUUCUAGAUCUUGGCUUCUUUUUGAAUAAUGAGCAGUAGCAAUUGCUAUUUCCUCUUCUUCGCCAUUCCAAGCUUCCCUCUACAACAUCCUCUCUUUCCAGCUGUGUAGCAGGCGCAGCUCUAAGCCCAUGUGCUUGGGGUCUCUUACCCUUGGAAUUGCCUCCUUUGCCGGGCUUUCUAAGUUGUCUUACUGCUAGUUUUCAAGGAUCUUAAAAAUCCAUCCUCUUGUAUGAAGGCUUCUCUGGCUGAAUGGGCAUUAUUCUGGCGUAUUCCUCACCUUCCAAAUAAAAUCUAUGAGCAUG